Molecule: ribosomal RNA, 253 nt
Filed under: uncultured bacterium
Lineage: Bacteria
Description: partial 16S ribosomal RNA
Rfam family: Bacterial small subunit ribosomal RNA
Source: RNAcentral
UACGUAGGGUGCAAGCGUUGUCCGGAAUUAUUGGGCGUAAAGAGCUCGUAGGCGGUUCGUCGCGUCGGCUGUGAAAUCCCGAGGCUCAACCUCGGGUCUGCAGUCGAUACGGGCAAACUAGAGUAUUGCAGGGGAGACUGGAAUUCCUGGUGUAGCGGUGAAAUGCGCAGAUAUCAGGAGGAACACCGGUGGCGAAGGCGGGUCUCUGGGCAAUAACUGACGCUGAGGAGCGAAAGCGUGGGGAGCGAACAGG